This 79-nucleotide ribosomal RNA is filed under the name Mesocricetus auratus (golden hamster). The record is from RNAcentral. Lineage: Eukaryota; Metazoa; Chordata; Mammalia; Rodentia; Cricetidae.
AGUACCAUCCAUACCAGCCUCAAUGUGCCCGAUCUGUCUGAUCUCAGAAGCUAAGCAGGGUCGAAACUGGUUAGUAUUU